CCCAGACUCCUACGGGAGGCAGCAGUGGGGAAUAUUGGGCAAUGGGCGCAAGCCUGACCCAGCAACGCCGCGUGAAGGAAGAAGGCUUUCGGGUUGUAAACUUCUUUUGUCAGGGACGAAGCAAGUGACGGUACCUGACGAAUAAGCCACGGCUAACUACGUGCCAGCAGCCGCGGUAAUACGUAGGUGGCAAGCGUUGUCCGGAUUUACUGGGUGUAAAGGGCGUGUAGCCGGGCUGACAAGUCAGAUGUGAAAUCCGGGGGCUCAACCCCCGAACUGCAUUUGAAACUGUUGGUCUUGAGUAUCGGAGAGGCAGGCGGAAUUCCUAGUGUAGCGGUGAAAUGCGUAGAUAUUAGGAGGGACACCAGUGGCGAAGGCGGCCUGCUGGACGACAACUGACGGUGAGGCGCGAAAGCGUGGGGAGCAAACAGGAUUAGAUACCCGAGUAUU
RNAcentral lists this ribosomal RNA (450 nucleotides) under uncultured bacterium. Its description in RNAcentral is "bacterial SSU rRNA". It matches the Rfam family "Bacterial small subunit ribosomal RNA", at positions 330 to 794 of the family's 1533-position model. The record is from RNAcentral.